RNAcentral lists this ribosomal RNA (465 nucleotides) under Eucanthus lazarus. Its description in RNAcentral is "eukaryotic LSU rRNA". Lineage: Eukaryota; Metazoa; Arthropoda; Insecta; Coleoptera; Bolboceratidae. The record is from RNAcentral.
GAGUUCAAGAGUACGUGAAACCGUUCAGGGGUAAACCUGAGAAACCCGAAAGGUCGAAAGGGGAGAUUCAAUCGCGUGUCGGGUAUUCGGCGAGCCUGCGAGUGACGGACGACGUUCGCGUCGUCGUGCGCCGUCAGACGCCGUCCGGCCCCGAACGCGUGCACUUCUCCCCCAGUAGGACGUCGCGACCCGUUUGCCGCCGGCCUAAGGCCCGCGGUGGAGCCCGCGAGCAAUUUGUUCGCGGACCUGCGGUGACCCGGCCGGCACGACCGACGGUAUAAAUAGGGCGCGGGGCCGCCAUGUGUUGGCGUCCGGCCCGUCGCAAGCGCGGGAGGACAACCCGGCAUCCGGACCUGGCGCCGGAUUCGGGCCCGCUCGACUGCUGGCGACGGUGUCCUCGGACUGACCCCGUACACGCCCGUCGGCGACGCUAUAGCUUUGGGUACUUUCAGGACCCGUCUUGAA